This 371-nucleotide ribosomal RNA is filed under the name uncultured organism. Its description in RNAcentral is "bacterial SSU rRNA". It matches the Rfam family "Bacterial small subunit ribosomal RNA", at positions 526 to 896 of the family's 1533-position model. The record is from RNAcentral.
CGUAGGUGGCGAGCGUUGUCCGGAAUUAUUGGGCGUAAAGGGCGUGUAGGUGGGAUGAUUAGUCUGUCGUAAAAGAGCGGGGCUCAACCCCGUUAAGCGAUGGAAACUGUCAUUCUUGAGUGCAGGAGAGGAAAGCGGAAUUCCCAGUGUAGCGGUGAAAUGCGUAGAUAUUGGGAGGAACACCAGUGGCGAAGGCGGCUUUCUGGACUGUGUCUGACACUGAGGCGCGAAAGCUAGGGAAGUGAACGGGAUUAGAUACCCCGGUAAUCCUAGCCGUAAACGAUGGGUACUAGGUGUAGAGGGUAUCGACCCCUUCUGUGCCGGAGUUAACGCAAUAAGUACCCCGCCUGGGGAGUACGGCCGCAAGGUUG